This 69-nucleotide transfer RNA is filed under the name Marmota monax (woodchuck). RNAcentral's name for it is "tRNA.Ala". Lineage: Eukaryota; Metazoa; Chordata; Mammalia; Rodentia; Sciuridae. The record is from RNAcentral.
GGAGUUGUGGCUCAGAGGAAGAGUGCCCACCUAGCAUGUAUGAAGCACUGGGUUCGAUCCUCAGCACCA